Capsicum annuum is the source of this 2262-nucleotide long non-coding RNA. RefSeq lists it as uncharacterized. The record is from RefSeq and is a predicted model, not a curated record. Lineage: Eukaryota; Viridiplantae; Streptophyta; Magnoliopsida; Solanales; Solanaceae. The transcript has 2 exons.
UUUGUAACUAAAAUCUCUGUCACAAUUUAGCCAUUUUCUUGUAGUGAUUACAAAUACAUAUAAUAAUAUAGUACCUACCAUACAGAACAAAUUAGAAAACUCUCAUAUACACUUUUUUUUUCUAAAAAAAAGAAGAAGAAGAAGUAAUAAUCCCUAAAAUAGCUAAGCAGACAUGCAUCCAACACCAUAUCUAGUAUCGGGAAAAAAAGAAAAAAUCCACUACAAAUAACUCCAACCAUUAAUGAAAAACUGAAAAAGAAAAGAGUUGUGGGGAUCACAAUAAUUAAUUGUGUAAUUAGUUAAUAGUUAGUUGUAAAGAGUUAGUGGUAGCUUAGUUAGUUAGUGAUUGUUAUGCUGAGCUGUCAACACUCAACUGUCUAUAAAAGGAGCAUAUUGUACAGCUUGGUCCAUAUAUGAAAUUGAGAUUCUUUCUACUUGCAAUAAUCUUCUCUCUACAACUUCGUGAUUGAUAUCUUCAACAUGGUAUCAGAGCGAAGGUACUAGAAGAUCUUUGUAUCAAUCAGUGAAGCUCCGGAGAAGAAGUAAUAGAAGAACUAGUGUUCCAGUGACUCUUGAGGUUAUGCAAGAGUUGAAUCUUGAGGUUAUGCAAGGUUGAAUUUCAAGCAAAUUACUCAAAAUUCACUGCAAUUACUCAAAAUCUUGACUACUGAGGCAGUUAAUAGCUCAGUCAAAGGAUCGACUUCACAUGCAACUACUCAGGUGGAGGAUCAGAUCGAUCACAACCACCAUUCGCUAUAUAUUUAUCCUUCUAAUACUCAAGGUUUGGUCCUUAUUUCUAUUCAGCUUAUAAGAUCUGAGAAUUGAGCUUUAUGGAGUAAGUCUAUGAAACUAGUGCUAAGAGGCAAGAAAAAGUUAGGUUUUGAAUUUGGAGGAGAGUUUUGACUCCAGUUUGCAUGAGAUUUGGAACAAAUGUGAUGCUAUAAUUCUUGCAUGAAUUAUGAACACAAUUUCUAAGGAUCAAGUUAGUACUGUCAUCUAUGGAUCCAAUGUUCAUACUGUGUGGUGUGAUAUGAAAGAGAAAUUUGAUAAAGUGAAUGCAUCUAGGGUAUUUUAUCUGCAUAAAGAGAUAAGUACCUUAACUCAAGGUGCAAAUUCAGUCUCUAUAUACUUCUCGAGGAUGAAGGAGUUAAGAGAUAAAUUUGAGGCACUAAUGCCUACUCCUACAUGUGCUUGUGUGGAAUCUAAGCAGUAUGCAGAACACUUUCAACAACAGAAACAGUAGCAGUUUUUGAUGGGUUUAAAUAAAACUUACGCUCAGGCUAAAAGUCAAAUAUUAAUGUUUGUACCUCUACCUACUGUUAAUCAAGCAUAUUCUAUGAUUUUGAAUAUGGAAAGUCAAAGAAUAAAUCACAGUAUGAAAACUAGAAGUAGUUCACGUAGUUAUGGUGGAUCUACUACAUUAUUGAGCAAGAGAAUGAUGCCUAAGAGUGGAAGGUCAAAGAAUUUUUUGAUAGAUCAAUGGUAAAAUGUGACUAUUGUCAUCUUAAAGGUCACGCACAAGAUAUGUGUUAUAAAUUUCAUGGCUAUCCAUCAGAUUAUAAGUUUAAUAAGAAAGGAGGAAUGCAAGCUAACAAUAUAACAGAAAGUAGUCUUUUUCAUAUUGUAGAGGGUCAGACCUCAACACUCUCAUCUCAAUCACAUCACAACUAUCAUACUUCAUAGGGUUCUCUUUCAUUUUCUUAUACUCAAUACUCAAAUCCUGGAAUGUUCUAUGGAAACUUGCCUCAAGGGUCACACUCUACUCAAGGGUGUCACUAUCAGAUUCCUACUACUCAGUAUCUAGUAGCAUUACCAACAUUUACAUCUAAACAAUACUCUCAAGUUGCACAGAUAUUGGAUAAAGGUAAAGCACCAUAAUAUAUGACCAAUGCUGCUCAGGUUGGUUCAAGUGAUGGCACUUCUACUGGUUCAGAGCUCUUUACUGGAAAGGUGAUAAGGAUUGGUAAAGAGGAGGAUGGAUUAUACAUACUACAGGGACACACCAACAUAAUUCCAAAAGAAAACAGACACCUGAGAAGACUCAAAGCAGCAGUCUGUAGCAUUAGCUGAUUAUAGUAUACAAAAUGUCACUAUGCUCAACAAUAAUGUUGUUAGUACUGAUUUUACCUUACUAUGGCAUAAAAAACUAGGGCAUGCACCUUUGAAAGUUCUUAAGAAUGUUAGUGGCUUUAACUCUUCUCAGCUUAAGGAACAUGUAUGCACUGUUUUUCCUAUUAUAAAACAAACAAGACUUUCUUUUCC